GAUGAACGCUGGCGGCGUGCCUAAUAUAUGCAAGUCGAGCGAACAGACGAGGAGCUUGCUCCUCUGAUGUUAGCGGCGGACGGGUGAGUAACACGUGGAUAACCUACCUAUAAGACUGGGAUAACUUCGGGAAACCGGAGCUAAUACCGGAUAACAUGUUGAACCGCAUGGUUCAACAGUGAAAGACGGUCUUGCUGUCACUUAUAGAUGGAUCCGCGCCGCAUUAGCUAGUUGGUAAGGUAACGGCUUACCAAGGCAACGAUGCGUAGCCGACCUGAGAGGGUGAUCGGCCACACUGGAACUGAGACACGGUCCAGACUCCUACGGGAGGCAGCAGUAGGGAAUCUUCCGCAAUGGGCGAAAGCCUGACGGAGCAACGCCGCGUGAGUGAAGAAGGUCUUCGGAUCGUAAAACUCUGUUAUUAGGGAAGAACAAAUGUGUAAGUAACUAUGCACGUCUUGACGGUACCUAAUCAGAAAGCCACGGCUAACUACGU
Molecule: ribosomal RNA, 496 nt
Filed under: uncultured bacterium
Lineage: Bacteria
Description: partial 16S ribosomal RNA
Rfam family: Bacterial small subunit ribosomal RNA
Source: RNAcentral